GAAAGAGGGUGGGCCUGGCUCCCCUGACACGCACGGAAGGAGUGGAGUGAGCUGGUGCAGAUGAGGGCGGCCCACAGGGGUGCCGGGAGGGCCUUGACUCAGUCCGGCUCCAAUCGGUCCUGGGACAAGGGCAGAAUUCAGCCGCUGCUGGCAGCCCCUGUCCAGUGUCCGGGUCCCGAAUUUUAGGAGCCACUGCUGCCCCCUUGGUCGCCUGAAACCCUCUCUCCUUCCUGCCUCCGAUCAUAACCCUGCAAUCUGGCCCUAAUCGCCGCCGGACUCUGUCAUGUGAAGGCCUGGCCCACACCUGCCUUCGCAGCCCACGGAACCCUGGCAGCCCCACCAGCUCGGAUGAGGGGCCAGGCCGCUGCCUCGGGCGCCCUGUGGAUUUCGAUUCACUGCUGCUGCUGCUGCUGCUGCUGCUGCUGCUGCUGCUGCUGCUGCUGCUGCUGCUGGGGCGCCAGCGAUGUGUGACCUCGUGGCUGGAUGUGGGUCCUCGGGCUGGGCUGUGCCUUGCCCCAUGCUGGUGCAGGGAAAAUUCUUCAGGUACGCUUGGCGGUUGCUGAGUUCCUCGCUAACGCCUCUCGCUGCUCCUGGACCCAGUGCAACCAGGACCCGCACCACCACGUGCACUACAUGAAGGUGGGGAAGGCAGCCCCACCUGCAGCAGCCUGGCCUGCAUCUGCAUCUACCAGUUGGACUCCUUCCUGCAACCCAUGCGCACCUACCUGGGCCUGGAGAGCUGUGAUGAGGUGCUGAGGCUCGUGACCCCUCGGGGCCUCUGGCCUUCCUGCUGGCCAGCAAGUAGUUCCUGUCGAAGAAGGGACAGCAGCCAUCCCAGGGCAGUGACCGCGGGACCCAGGUUGGGGCCCUCCCACGCCAGUGACAACUUUCCCGUAGAACACCUCACCAUGGGCAGCCGCAACCCCAGCGAUGUGGCUGGCGGCCCUUAGAACUGCCUCACCAGCCUGACCCAGGACCGGGGCGGGGAUGCGCUUCAGUCCUGCCCUACAUGGACUCAUGAAAAGCGUCUCGCUGUUGGGAACUCUUCCUCCACCGUAUAAAGAAGGCCGGGCUAGCUUGCUGAAGAGAUGGGGAUCCACCUCGAGCCAGCACCAAGCAGCAGACACGUGCAGAAGAGCUACUCUGUGUCCUGUGUGGGGCGGUACAGGGAGCGGAAGGGCAGCCAUUCCCAGCGGUCCGGGGCAGAUCCUGGCGCAGAUCCUGCAGCAAGCCUCGCUGCCAGGUUACACCGCCGCGCUCCAUGGCAUCUUUCAGAGUGUUCUGAGCUGCACUGGACUGAUGGAGAUUUGCUGUUUAUCGCAUCAGACAGCCUUCUCUCUAGACACAGGUCUUCUGGGAAUUUGACUGAUUUUAGAUGGAAGUCUUCAUGUGCCACAGCCAAAUUGGGGAUGAAAAAUUGAGGGACGU
RNAcentral lists this long non-coding RNA (1428 nucleotides) under Camelus dromedarius (Arabian camel). RNAcentral's name for it is "lncRNA (ENSCDRG00005003614.1)". Lineage: Eukaryota; Metazoa; Chordata; Mammalia; Artiodactyla; Camelidae. The record is from RNAcentral.